GAUGAACGCUGGCGGCGUGCCUAAUACAUGCAAGUCGAGCGAACGGACGAGAAGCUUGCUUCUCCGAUGUUAGCGGCGGACGGGUGAGUAACACGUGGAUGACCUACCUAUAAGACUGGGAUAACUUCGGGAAACCGUAGCUAAUACCGGAUAAUAUUUUGAACCGCAUGGUUCAAAAGUGAAAGACGGUCUUGCUGUCACUUAUAGAUGGAUCCGCGCUGCAUUAGCUAGUUGGUAAGGUAACGGCUUACCAAGGCAACGAUGCAUAGCCGACCUGAGAGGGUGAUCGGCCACACUGGAACUGAGACACGGUCCAGACUCCUACGGGAGGCAGCAGUAGGGAAUCUUCCGCAAUGGGCGAAAGCCUGACGGAGCAACGCCGCGUGAGUGAUGAAGGUCUUCGGAUCGUAAAACUCUGUUAUUAGGGAAGAACAUAUGUGUAAGUAACUGUGCACAUCUUGACGGUACCUAAUCAGAAAGCCACGGCUAACUACGUGCCAGCAGCCGCGGUAAUACGUAGGUGGCAAGCGUUUAUCGGAAUUAUUGGGCGUAAAGCGCGCGUAGGCGGUUUUUUAAGUCUGAUGUGAAAGCCCACGGCUCAACCGUGGAGGGUCAUUGGAAACUGGAAAACUUGAGUGCAGAAGAGGAAAGUGGAAUUCCAUGUGUAGCGGUGAAAUGCGCAGAGAUAUGGAGGAACACCAGUGGCGAAGGCGACUUUCUGGUCUGUAACUGACGCUGAUGUGCGAAAGCGUGGGGAUCAAACAGGAUUAGAUACCCUGGUAGUCCACGCCGUAAACGAUGAGUGCUAAGUGUUAGGGGGUUUCCGCCCCUUAGUGCUGCAGCUAACGCAUUAAGCACUCCGCCUGGGGAGUACGACCGCAAGGUUGAAACUCAAAGGAAUUGACGGGGACCCGCACAAGCGGUGGAGCAUGUGGUUUAAUUCGAAGCAACGCGAAGAACCUUACCAAAUCUUGACAUCCUUUGACAACUCUAGAGAUAGAGCCUUCCCCUUCGGGGGACAAAGUGACAGGUGGUGCAUGGUUGUCGUCAGCUCGUGUCGUGAGAUGUUGGGUUAAGUCCCGCAACGAGCGCAACCCUUAAGCUUAGUUGCCAUCAUUAAGUUGGGCACUCUAAGUUGACUGCCGGUGACAAACCGGAGGAAGGUGGGGAUGACGUCAAAUCAUCAUGCCCCUUAUGAUUUGGGCUACACACGUGCUACAAUGGACAAUACAAAGGGCAGCGAAACCGCGAGGUCAAGCAAAUCCCAUAAAGUUGUUCUCAGUUCGGAUUGUAGUCUGCAACUCGACUACAUGAAGCUGGAAUCGCUAGUAAUCGUAGAUCAGCAUGCUACGGUGAAUACGUUCCCGGGUCU
Molecule: ribosomal RNA, 1372 nt
Filed under: uncultured bacterium
Lineage: Bacteria
Description: 16S ribosomal RNA
Rfam family: Bacterial small subunit ribosomal RNA
Source: RNAcentral